RNAcentral lists this long non-coding RNA (621 nucleotides) under Medicago truncatula (barrel medic). Its description in RNAcentral is "lncRNA gene10498". The record is from RNAcentral. Lineage: Eukaryota; Viridiplantae; Streptophyta; Magnoliopsida; Fabales; Fabaceae.
GUUUCUUCAUCGUUUUAUUUUAUUUACCCCCCUAACCCAUUAUCAACAUGUUUCUCUUCCACUUCAAUAUCAAUUAAUACUCUUAUUCGUAAGUCAGAUUCCACUAUGUUCUAUAUGAGGCGAUCCUAUGUAGGGGAUAUAUGGGUUUAUGAACAAGUGUUUUAAAUGAUCUUGAUCUGGCAGUCUGAAACAAAACAUUUCUUGUGCCUUUUGCGAUUCAGAUGAACUUUAGUCUCGUUGAUUGGUUAAUUAAAUGGUUUGAACCUGGUUUUUACGCAUGAUGAUAAUUUGAUAUAACAAUGGUUGUGAUUUAAUUUCCGAUUAAUUUUCAAUGAUACUGUUUUUUGGUGUUAUGUGAAUUUGUUGAGGAAAAAAAGAAGGCAACAAAUUAGAGUCUCUGAUUCACUUAUUUGAUGAUUCUGGCAUUUGCUUGUUUUAUGAGGCUUUUGCAUUCAGAUGCUCAUGCUCCUACAUAUUCACAUUUUUUCUCAUAUUAAUGUUAAAAUACCUUAAAAUAAGGUUCUGUUUUUUGUUUUGGUUUUUAUGGUGACAUUUAGUGCAAAGUUUUGUUCGUUUUUAAUUACCUAAGGUAGAAUAUCUAAAUGGUUAAAGCCAAUUUGC